AUUAAACGCUGGCGGCAUGCCUUACACAUGCAAGUCGAACGGCAGCACGGGGCAACCUGGUGGCGAGUGGCGAACGGGUGAGUAAAGCAUCGGAACGUGCCCUGGAGUGGGGGAUAACGUAGCGAAAGUUACGCUAAUACCGCAUAUUCUGUGAGCAGGAAAGCAGGGGAUCGCAAGACCUUGCGCUCUGGGAGCGGCCGAUGUCGGAUUAGCUAGUUGGUGGGGUAAAGGCCUACCAAGGCGACGAUCCGUAGCGGGUCUGAGAGGAAGGCCCCCCACAAUGGAACUGAAACACGGUCCAUACACCUACGGGUGGCAGCAGUAGGGAAUAUUAGAAAUGGGCGGAAGCCUGAUCUAGCAACACCGCGUGUGCGAUGAAGGCCUUCGGGUCGUAAAGCACUUUUUGGAGGGAAUAGGAAGGAAGGUACCUCCAGAAUAAGUCUCGGCUAACUACGUGCCAGCAGCCGGUAAUCUGUAGUCGU
This 482-nucleotide ribosomal RNA is filed under the name uncultured bacterium. Its description in RNAcentral is "bacterial SSU rRNA". It matches the Rfam family "Bacterial small subunit ribosomal RNA", at positions 30 to 534 of the family's 1533-position model. The record is from RNAcentral.